Long non-coding RNA from Wasmannia auropunctata (little fire ant), 1306 nucleotides. RefSeq lists it as uncharacterized. Lineage: Eukaryota; Metazoa; Arthropoda; Insecta; Hymenoptera; Formicidae. The transcript is spliced from 2 exons. The record is from RefSeq and is a predicted model, not a curated record.
AAAUAAUAUUGCUCAUUUAUUACAACAACGAUACGAUUCAGAAAACAAAAAUUUUCAGGAAAUACGUUUGAAUGUUUUAAACUAAAAUUUUGGAAUAUUAAUUUUGAAAAAUACAAUUUUUUUAGAGGUAAAUAGUAGAUUAUAGAGGAAAAGUCUUUUUCUUUUUUUCUUUAUAUUUCCAUUCUAAAAAGUUUCCAUUACGCCAUCAACUAAAAAAUAAAAAUUUUUUAAUUAUGUCGUUACAACGAUAUACUGCGAUGAAAUGAGCGAUAUAUAUGUGUUGAUAUUCGUCCGUUCGUGCUGUUACCCAAAUUCAAUGUAAUUACGCAAACGGAUCUUCCUCUAAAAGAACGCAAACAAACUUAAAAUAUUGAAUAUAAUCAAUAAAAUUAAAUACCUCGUAUCUUAUGGAGGUACUGCUACUCUUUUCGUUAAACUGCUAGAAAUCAUAAUUUUAACUCUAAAACGAUACUUGGAAGUGCCUGGAAGUUUGCCAACGAUUUUCGGUUUUGCCUACAUGCCGGACGGAAAUUUUUGUCAACAUGAGAAUUUCGCUUCUUUUUUUUCGAGGUCCUUAAGUGUUGCGAUAAAAUCAGGGACCGUGGCAAGGUUAACGAGCGGCCACGACGCGAAUUGUGUCUCAAGUUUAGAGGCACGGAAGCACGCCGCGUGUCGCCGACGCGUGCGAUUACGUAUGACGUAUGACGUGACUCAUGCAGGACCCGUCGUUCGCCCGCCGAGGAAGAGGUAAACGCCGAGGAAGCGACGUCUCCGUCGUUCGGGAGCACCGGAAGACACCCGACAGCUGCGCCAGCGGUGACUCACGCGAGCACACCGCCAGCAUACGUUAUCGAGUGUCGUCUCGUUUUCUAUUGUGUACUGCUGCCCUGCAGACGAAGCCAAUGAUGCGAAAAGUUCGGACUCGAUGAUGAGUUUCCGAAAGCACGUCGUGAAAGACAAGAAGAUAGAUAUCGCGCAACGUGAUUACGCUCGUUAACACUUGAUAUAUGAAUCCAAAGGUUUCGACAGAAGGCACAAAAUGGAAAUUUCAAGAUUGUCGUCUAUUUGUAAAAUAAAAUCAUCUGAUCCGUCGACGAGCGAAAGACAGUCUACAUCUAAUGAAAAUUUGACACUUCAAGAGGAACACAGUACUGACAUAGAAACAAGCGGAGCACAAUCUUCACCUUGUGCAAUUUUCAAAUUUUCAGAAGAACUAAUGUUUUAUCAUGGAACUAAUAGAAAUAAGUGUAAAAGUACGAUUUAAUUGCAAUUACAAAACGUAUUUAAUAAAAGAAAUUCAAGUAUA